CCUACGGGAGGCAGCAGUGGGGAAUAUUGCACAAUGGGGGAAACCCUGAUGCAGCGACGCCGCGUGCGGGAUGACGGCCUUCGGGUUGUAAACCGCUUUUAAUUGGGAGCAAGCGCAAGUGAGUGUACCUUUCGAAUAAGCACCGGCUAACUACGUGCCAGCAGCCGCGGUAAUACGUAGGGUGCAAGCGUUGUCCGGAAUUAUUGGGCGUAAAGAGCUCGUAGGCGGUUUGUCGCGUCUGGUGUGAAAGUCCAUCGCUUAACGGUGGAUUUGCGCUGGGUACGGGCAGGCUAGAGUGUAGUAGGGGAGACUGGAAUUCCCGGUGGAACGGUGGAAUGUGUAGAUAUCGGGAAGAACACCAAUGGCGAAGGCAGGUCUCUGGGCUAUUACUGACGCUGAGGAGCGAAAGCGUGGGGAGCGAACAGGAUUAGAUACCCUGGUAGUC
This 445-nucleotide ribosomal RNA is filed under the name uncultured Bifidobacteriaceae bacterium. RNAcentral's name for it is "bacterial SSU rRNA". It matches the Rfam family "Bacterial small subunit ribosomal RNA", at positions 338 to 795 of the family's 1533-position model. Lineage: Bacteria; Bacillati; Actinomycetota; Actinomycetes; Bifidobacteriales; Bifidobacteriaceae. The record is from RNAcentral.